CCUAGAGAUGCUGCCUGGCCUGCUGCGUUCACCAGCAUUUUUUGUGUGUAUUGAGAGAUACUGCCUCGCAGUUCCAGGGACCUGAGUUCAAUCAGUGCUGUCUGUGUGGAGUUUGCAUGUUCUCCCUGUGUCCUCUUUGGUUUCUUCAGGGUGCUCAGAUUUCCUCCCCCAUCACAAAGAUGUGCUGCCAGGUUAAUUAGCUGCGAGGGUUUGUUUUCCAGCAGCAUGAGUCAGGAUACUUAGGAGAAGAGGGUGUCUGCUGUUACAGGUACAGGAAGGUGCAGAAAAUUCUCCAUCAACAAUCAGAAGUGCACCUUAAGGAGUUAACCAAGAUGCCUCUUGGAAGAGAUUUCACAGACAUCAUAUAUCUAGAGGAACACACGCAAAAUGCUCAAGGAACUCAGCAGGUCAGUUAGCACCUAUAGAAGGGAAUAAACAGACAAUGUUUCAAGCCGAGACCCUUCACUGGAACCUCUUAAAAGCUCCUGGGGCACGCUGCCAGGGGAGGUGAUGGAAGUGGAUACAUUUAAGAGAUGUUUAAACAGACACAUGAA
Mobula hypostoma (lesser devil ray) is the source of this 554-nucleotide long non-coding RNA. RefSeq lists it as uncharacterized. The record is from RefSeq and is a predicted model, not a curated record. NCBI's taxonomy places the organism in Eukaryota, Metazoa, Chordata, Chondrichthyes, Myliobatiformes, Myliobatidae. The transcript is spliced from 3 exons.